RNAcentral lists this ribosomal RNA (250 nucleotides) under uncultured bacterium. RNAcentral describes it as "partial 16S ribosomal RNA". It matches the Rfam family "Bacterial small subunit ribosomal RNA", at positions 524 to 773 of the family's 1533-position model. The record is from RNAcentral.
UACGAAGGGGGCGAGCGUUGUUCGGAAUCACUGGGCUUAAAGCGUGCGUAGGCGGAUAUACAAGUCAGAAGUGAAAUCCCGGGGCUUAACCCCGGAACUGCUUUUGAAACUGUAUGUCUAGAAUCCGGUAGAGGUUAAUGGAAUGUCCAGUGUAGAGGUGAAAUUCGCAGAUAUUGGACGGAACACCAGUGGCGAAGGCGAUUAACUGGGCCGGUAUUGACGCUGAGGUACGAAAGCGUGGGGAGCAAAC